AUUGAACGCUGGCGGCAUGCUUUACACAUGCAAGUCGAACGGCAGCGCGGGCUUCGGCCUGGCAGCGAGUGGCGAACGGGUGAGUAAUGCAUCGGAACGUGCCCAGUAGUGGGGGAUAGCCCGGCGAAAGCCGGAUUAAUACCGCAUACGACCUGAGGGUGAAAGCGGGGGACCGAAAGGCCUCGCGCUAUUGGAGCGGCCGAUGUCGGAUUAGCUAGUUGGUGGGGUAAAGGCUUACCAAGGCGACGAUCCGUAGCUGGUCUGAGAGGACGACCAGUCACACUGGGACUGAGACACGGCCCAGACUCCUACGGGAGGCAGCAGUGGGGAAUUUUGGACAAUGGGGGCAACCCUGAUCCAGCCAUGCCGCGUGCGGGAAGAAGGCCUUCGGGUUGUAAACCGCUUUUGUUCGGGAAGAAAUCCUCUGGGCUAAUACCCCGGGGGGAUGACGGUACCGGAAGAAUAAGCACCGGCUAACUACGUG
RNAcentral lists this ribosomal RNA (484 nucleotides) under uncultured bacterium. RNAcentral describes it as "partial 16S ribosomal RNA". It matches the Rfam family "Bacterial small subunit ribosomal RNA", at positions 29 to 507 of the family's 1533-position model. The record is from RNAcentral.